UCUCCAUUAGCAAAUCCAAAAAGCGUCUUUUCCCAUUAGUUCCCCAAUUCACAAGGGAAAGAACUAAGAAGAUGAGUAUGGGGACAGCUUUGAGGAUGAUUUUCCUUGUGGUGUUUAUUGGGUGGCUCAUGGUUUGGGUUUUGUUGCCAACAACGAUAUACACACAAGCAUGGACUCCUAAGCUAAACUGCAAGCUCAAUUCAACAUAUUUUGGAGAACAAGGGACAAAUCUUCUGCUUUUCUCAUUUCCCAUGAUGUUCAUAGCCGCUUUGGGCUGUGUUUAUCUCCAUGUUCAGCAGGAAUCAAAAAAAAUUAACUCCAAAAGUGUUGUUAAAAGUCAUCGUUUGGCCUUCUCGAAACGUCCGCUGCUUGUGAUGGCUCCUCUGGGAAUUGUUACUGCAACGGAGCUUGCCUUUUCUGCCAUGUUCAUUGCACUCUUAAUCUGGUCUCUAUUUAAUUACAUAAAUUAUUACACCUUCGAUCACCCCUUUGUGCAUAAAGCAGGCGAGAAAUUGUGGCAAACAAGGUUUCGAAGUGUAUCAUUCAUACUGGGGUAUGUAGGAAACAUAUGCUGGGCAUUUCUCUUCUUUCCUGUGAGUCGAGGGUCUUCAAUUUUGCCUCUUGCUGGGCUCACAUCAGAGUCUAGCAUCAAGUAUCAUAUAUGGCUCGGCCAUCUUUCUACGGUUCUUUUUGCCGCACAUACUAUCGGUUUCAUCAUUUACUGGAGCACGACUCACCAAAUGGCUGAGAUGCUUGAAUGGAGAAAAGAUUGGGUGCCAAAUGUAGCUGGGGAGAUUGCAUUUGUAUUUGCAAUGGGAAUGUGGGUGACAAGCUUUCCUCGCGUGAGGCGAAAGAUGUUUGAGGUUUUCUUCUAUACCCACCAUCUCUAUGGGUUCUAUAUCUUUUUCUAUGUACUGCAUGUUGGCGCUGCCUACUUCUGCAUGAUCCUUCCUGGAAUAUACCUCUUCUUUAUUGAUCGGUUCUUGAGAUUCCUACAGUCCAGACGAAGGGCUAGAUUAGUCUCUGCACGCAUCUUACCUUGUGACACUGUUGAAUUGAACUUCUCCAAGAGCCCAGGGUUGAUUUAUAAUCCCACAAGCAUAUUGUUUUUAAAUGUGCCUAGCAUUUCCAAGCUUCAGUGGCACCCUUUUACAAUUACUUCUAAUUGUAAUAUGGAGCCAGAUAAGCUCAGCAUUGUCAUCAAACGCGAUGGAAGUUGGUCCCAAAAGCUUUACCAGGAACUUUCUUCUUCUGUGGAUUACCUUAAUGUUUCUGUUGAAGGACCUUAUGGUCCUACUUCCUCUCAUUUUUUGAGGCACGAGUCCUUGGUGAUGGUGAGUGGAGGAAGUGGCAUUACUCCUUUUAUCUCCAUAAUUCGCGAGAUCAUUUUCGGAAGCCAAAGUGAAGAAUUAGAUGUUCCGCCAGUUCUCCUAAUUUGUGCAUUCAAGAACUUGGCAGAUCUCACCAUGUUAAAUCUCUUACUUCCUAUCUCAGACACACACACACAGAUUUCCAAAAUGCAGUUGCAAAUAGAAGCCUAUGUGACCAGAGAGAAUGAGCAGACUUUUACAGAUUCCGAAAAGCACCUCCAAACCAUUUGGUUCAAGUCAGAUCCAUUUGACUCACCUAUUUCUGCAGCUCUAGGCCCAAACAACUGGUUAUGGCUUGGUGCAAUAAUCUCAUCAUCAUUUGUCAUGUUCCUUCUCAUUUUGGGCAUUUUCACUCGUUACUACAUUUUCCCUAUUGAACAAGAAACCUAUGAGCCUUACCAUUUCACCUUGAGAGCUCUUUGGGACAUAUUUUUGGUUUGUACCUGCUUUUUUAUAGCUUCUAGUGCAAUCUUUCUUUGGUGCAAGAAACAAAAUGCCAAGGAAUAUGAGCGAAUCCUAAACCUGAAAGCUCCAACACCACCAACUUCACCAUGGUCUCAAUUUUAUGUUGCGGAUAGGGAGCUUGAAAGCCUUCCUCAUGAGUCCCUUGUUCAAGCCACCAAGGUGCAUUUUGGUGCAAAGCCUGAUCUUAAGGAAAUUCUGCCUAGGUGCGAAGGAUCAGAUAUUGGAGUCUUAGUUUGUGGCCCAAGGACUAUGCGACAUGAGGUUGCCAAAAUUUGUUCGUCUGGGUUGGCAGAUAAUUUGCAUUUCGAGUCCAUCAGCUUUAAUUGGUGAUGUAUUUGGAAGGUGAUUGUGUUCGAUAUAGCAUUGCAGACAAUCUACUUUUAACGACUACAAGCUACACUGGAAGGGGAUUCUUUGCUGGUGGUGCAGUCCCUUGCCGAUGAUGCUCUGAGUUUUGCUGGUUUUGGUAGCUUAAUUUAUUAGAGAUUCGAUGAUCUUUUUUAAGUGUUUCCAUUGUUUAAACUUUUCUCACACUGGACAGGAAGGGAAUAACUUAGCUUAUAAUCUAGCCAAACAUUCUUUAAAUGUUCUUGAUAUUUUAGUGUGGAUGAAGGAUGUUCUACCGAAGUUUCAUUGUUUUUUUAAGGAUGAUUUUGGGCUUGUUUGGAUCACCAUGAUUUUAAGUGAUAUCACUCAGUUUUCAUCAUUGAGUUUCCAAAACGCAUGGGUCCCAUCGAAAAAAUCUUAUUUGGCUUAGUUUUUGGGUGAUGUUUCCAUUACUCAAAACUUAAAAAUUUGAGUGAUGGAUGGUGUUUUUAGUUUCUGAAAUAUGAGUUAUGAUGGCAAAAGGUGAGUUAUGUGAUUGAGUAAU
Quercus lobata is the source of this 2706-nucleotide RNA transcript. It is a transcript of the gene named ferric reduction oxidase 4-like, with no coding region annotated. The record is from RefSeq and is a predicted model, not a curated record. Lineage: Eukaryota; Viridiplantae; Streptophyta; Magnoliopsida; Fagales; Fagaceae. The transcript is spliced from 9 exons.